CCUCUCUCCUCAUCAUGCUCUUUCUCGAUCUCUCGAUCUCUAUCCCGAUGCGGACAAGCGACGGUGGCUGCCACGACCGUGGUUCGGCGGCGCUGCCCACCCUCCUCCUCCUCCGUCGCCUCCUCCUCCUCCUCCUCCAUUCCUCAUUCGCACGCCUACUUCUCGGCUCUGUUCCUCCCUCCCCUUCUCCCUCUCUGUACCUCCCGAGGUGGCAGCGGGCGCGAGGUGACGGAGCCCCCCGCAGGUGGCACAUCCGCGGGGGUGUGGCCCAGCGGCCCCCUCCCUCUCUCUCAUCCUCUGCGCGGGCUCCUUAACGCCUCCUGCCGGGGAGCAUGUGCUUGUUCGCUCGGUGAAACCCUAGAACACGCGGUUGUGCAGGUGCGGUGGCCCGUUCAUAGCACCAUAGCAGCUAGUGCGAAAUUCAGCUGCUAGCAGCACAGGCGUCAUUAAGUGGAUUGUACCAGCUCUUUUAUGCUGUGUUAUGAUCCAUGUAAUUUGAGAUAUGAUCUGCUACUCAUGGAGUUGGAUAAAAAGAAGGCUAGUAAUUUUUGCAGCCAUGUACCUGCAAAUCAAUAGAGAUUCAAUCCACUGACACUCUGCAAGUUUCAGGGUGAUGAUUUGUUACAGGUCAAUCUUCUUAGCACACCUCUCUGUGUUGGGUUUUAUCAAGUCAGGAGGACUAAUCAGUUCAGUAACUUAUGUUUGGCUAUCCUGGAAAACACCCACUGCUUUUAGGUACUUCAUUAUUUGUAGAGGAGAAAAAUGAAGUAGACUGUUCCUGCUUUUGGUACUGGCCGAGCUUCAGCUCGUGCUAUGACAGGGCAGCCUGCGAAGAAAGUGGAUAUGGGACAUCGAUGAGAUACUAUUUUGCUCAUCACUUCUGGAUGCUCAUAUGCUGGGACUUUCAACAGCCUCAAGGAUUGUGAGAAAAGUACUAAAAUAGGGAAAUGAGGGGAGGACCUCAUUGUUCAAUUCUGUGAUCACCACUUCUUUUAUGUGGAAGUCAGUUAGCAUAUAAAUUGGGUACUGCCAUACAUGGUAGCUAUGUACUAUAUCAUCAACAAAUGAUUGAGAACUACAAUGAACCCUAUCUCAAUGCUUUCAAGAAAUAUAAUGAUGGGAGAUACUUGGCCUCAUAUGAUUUCGAGGCUGACUGUUUUAGUUCACCCUAUGAUGACGUGAACCGAAAAAUCUUCCUUACAUACAUACAUCAUGCUAUUGGAAACAUAUAUGCCGAUACUAACUAAGAUUCUUUCAUAAAAAAGGCCCCCCUGUUGUGAGACAGUUUACUUUUCAGCCAUGGUAUCUAUAGCGUCACAACCAACUGCAGAUGUUUAUGUGGUCACUGGUGACAUGUGGAGUACAAUGGACAAUUGUGGGCAUUGGAGGAGGCGAGCAGUCCACAUGCAUGAUAAUACUAUUUCCCCAUAAUGAAUUAAAUGCUGCACAUGGCUGUUCAGUGGUGCACAUCUUUCAGCUCUGUAACUGAAAACAGUAUGGCAACUACAUAUCCAGUUCUUCAUGUAAUAAACCACACCCUUGUAUAUUUAUGGCCUUUUUGUGAAUAUGUUUUCUCUUAAAUCCAUCAGUGCAGCAUUGAUUUUCCUACUGCAAAAUCUUUGUCAAGCAAUUGAUAUAUUAUAUCUGUUCAAGAGGGAUCAACGACUUUGCCAGUCUGCUAUCAGAGUGGACAAGCAUCUUCUCAUUUUUUGAGAAUUCAGAUUCAUGUCAAUUCGUCCGAUUUCUCAUAUCGAUUUUAAAGAACGUCGACUCCACAUAGAUUAUGGACAUUGUAAUCGUCCAUUGUUUAUUGCUGAGGGCCACAUGCUGCUCAUUUAAGAGGGCACAUAUUGGAGAUUUCAAACAAAGGAUCUGCCAUUGAUCAACAUCUACUGGCUUCCACUUCAAUUUACCAGUGUAUAAUUUUACUCCUAAGCUGUUUCUAUCCUUUUGUCUGCUAAGAGAGUUUUAAAGAAGGUUGGAAUGAACUAGUCUAAACAAGGAUAUACGAUACUGAAGAAGAGGAGACCACCAUGAUCUCCAUGACUACAAUGUAAGUGAGAUAUGCACAUGUAGCUGAUCGAACAUAUUCUGAGGGCCUAUGUAUAUGAAAGGGAUUUUGUCCACCAUUCUAGAGAUUCUUCUAUGUAGAUCAGCGACCUUUUUCUUCAUCGUAGUUCUAUGUUGUGAUCCAGGUAUAAUUUUUCAAAAUUUUUAAUUCCUGAUGAUAUACUAAAUGUCUAAAUCUAUGUAUCAGUUCAGUUUCAUGCAA
Molecule: long non-coding RNA, 2272 nt
Organism: Sorghum bicolor (sorghum)
Lineage: Eukaryota; Viridiplantae; Streptophyta; Magnoliopsida; Poales; Poaceae
Exons: 6
Source: RefSeq, a predicted model, not a curated record